Molecule: ribosomal RNA, 1062 nt
Filed under: uncultured organism
Description: bacterial SSU rRNA
Rfam family: Bacterial small subunit ribosomal RNA
Source: RNAcentral
UAAGCCUUUGGGUACAAAAUUUAUUGCCCCAAGAUGAGCUCGCGUCUGAUUAGCUAGUUGGUGAGGUAAAAGCUCACCAAGGCAGCGAUCAGUAGCUGGUCUGAGAGGACGAUCAGCCACACUGGGACUGAGACACGGCCCAGACUCCUACGGGAGGCAGCAGUGGGGAAUUUUCCGCAAUGUGGCGAAAGCCUGACGGAGCAAGACCGCGUGAGGGAGGAAGGCUCUUGGGUUGUAAACCUCUUUUCUCAGGGAAGAAGCUCUGACGGUACCUGAGGAAUCAGCCUCGGCUAACUCCGUGCCAGCAGCCGCGGUAAUACGGAGGAGGCAAGCGUUAUCCGGAAUUAUUGGGCGUAAAGCGUCCGCAGGUGGCGAUUCAAGUCUGCUGUCAAAGCACGGGGCUUAACUCCGUUAAGGCAGUGGAAACUGAAUAGCUAGAGUGCCGUAGGGGUAGAGGGAAUUCCCGGUGUAGCGGUGAAAUGCGUAGAGAUCGGGAAGAACAUCGGUGGCGAAAGCGCUCUACUGGACGGCAACUGACACUCAGGGACGAAAGCUAGGGGAGCGAAUGGGAUUAGAUACCCCAGUGGUCCUAGCUGUAAAACGAUGGAUACUAGGUGUAGCUUGUAUCGAGCCCGAGCUGUGCCGAAGCUAACGCGUGUAAGUAUGCCCGCCUUGGGAGAAGUAACGCAACGCAAAGUUGUGAAACUCCAAAAGGAAUUGAGCGGGGGCCCGCACCAGCGGUGGAGUAUGUGGGUUAAUUCGAUGCAACGCGAAGAACCUUACCAGGGGUUUGACAUGUCCGGAAUCCCGGUGAAAGAUGGGAAUUGCACUUCGGGAGCCGGGAACACAGGCGGUGGCAUGCCUGUCGUCAGACUCGUGUCGAGAGAGGUUGGGUUAAGUCCCGCAACGAGCGCAACCUUCGUAUUUAGUAGCAAGCAUUAAGUCGGGCACUGAAGAGAGACUGCCGGUGACAGACCGGAGGAAGGUGGGGAUGACGUCAAGUCAGCAUGCCCCUGACGCUCUGGGAGACACACGUACUACAAUGGUCGGGACAGAGGGCAG